UACGUAGGGUGCAAGCGUUGUCCGGAAUUAUUGGGCGUAAAGAGCUCGUAGGCGGUCUGUCGCGUCUGCUGUGAAAACUCGGGGCUUAACCCCGGCCUGCAUUCGAUACUGGGCGGCUAGAGUCUGGUAGGGGGAUCUGGAAUUCCUGGUGUAGCGGUGGAAUGCGCAGAUAUCAAGAGGAACACCGUGGCGGCAAGGGCGG
Molecule: ribosomal RNA, 202 nt
Filed under: uncultured bacterium
Lineage: Bacteria
Description: partial 16S ribosomal RNA
Rfam family: Bacterial small subunit ribosomal RNA
Source: RNAcentral